GUCGCUCACAAAUUCCAUUGUAGUGUUAAAAAAUUACUAUAGGUACUUAGUGGUGCAUCAAGGUCGGUUAGGGUAUAUAGAUUGCCUGCUCGCAAAUCAGUUUAAGGCCAAAGAGAGGUAAUAAAUAGAACUAAAGAGACAUCUAAGCAAAAGACAUACAUGCCGAGGAUCAAUUCUAUAUAUCAAGUUCACUAUCAACUNCGAAGUUCGAACUGAGUCAUAGUAGUACUCUCCUAUCGGAUGAAAAGGAAUGAGGCAAUCGUUGAGUGGUUUCAGUAACUCUGUUGCUUAUCAUCGCUCAUGGACCUCCCCCGUAAUGUGGCUCGUGACUGUAUGACUGAGAAGAGAAAAAUAUAAUUACAUCCACUUCUUCUAAUAUUAUAUAUUAAUUAUAUUCCUUUUUAUAUUAUUUCUAACAUUUUAUUACUAUUAUAAUCUAAGAAUAUUCAUUUGUUAUACCUGCUACGAUACGUACUGAAUACAAAGACGUAUCAAGAGAAUCUCCUCUACUCAUACUACCAUCUUUUUAUUACCUCNAUGGGGGGCGAGGAAAUUAUAUUUCAAUAAUUAUUGCAGAUUACCACACGGA
Molecule: ribosomal RNA, 589 nt
Filed under: uncultured bacterium
Lineage: Bacteria
Description: partial 16S ribosomal RNA
Source: RNAcentral